This is a non-coding RNA of Paramuricea clavata, 376 nucleotides long. NCBI's taxonomy places the organism in Eukaryota, Metazoa, Cnidaria, Anthozoa, Malacalcyonacea, Plexauridae. The record is from the annotation of a GenBank genome assembly.
CUAGCUCAUGGGUUGGGUAAAAAAAUUUGUGGCUGUCUGUCAGCUAUAAAAUAAAACCGAAAUUACCAUGCAUUGGAAAAUAUGAAGAAAAAUGUGCACAAUACAUUUUGUACCAAAGUAGACCAUCAGUGAUUGAGGAAGGACUCUAUUAUUGAUCAGCAGGAACGUGGUUCCAUUGGCACACUCAGUGAGUUUGAGUCUGAGUGAGCUUUUAAAAUUUAGGCAACUUGAUUUCUGUCACCAUAUAAUCUUGUGUGUUUAAUUAUUAUGAAGUACAGCAACACAUGGGUUGGGUAAACAUUAUUUUGACCAAUGUUGAGGUUGGGUAAAUAAAAAAAUUACAGUGUUUUUCGCUUCUCUUCGGUACCAACCCCAG